This 615-nucleotide ribosomal RNA is filed under the name uncultured Crater Lake bacterium CL0-109. RNAcentral's name for it is "bacterial SSU rRNA". It matches the Rfam family "Bacterial small subunit ribosomal RNA", at positions 8 to 665 of the family's 1533-position model. The record is from RNAcentral.
AGAGUUUGAUCAUGGCUCAGGACGAACGCUUGCGGCGUGCCUAAGAAAUGCAAGUCGAACGGGGCUUUGGCCCCAGUGGCGAACGGUCGCGUAACACGUAAGCAACCUGCCCUGAAGUGGGGGCAACAUUCCGAAAGGGGUGCUAAUACCCCAUAUGCUUUCGAGUGGAACGGAAUUUUCCGCCUAAAGAGAAGCUUGCGGCUGAUUAGCUUGUUGGUGAGGUAAUGGCUUACCAAGGCGACGAUCAGUAUCUGGUUUGAGAGGAUGAUCAGACACACUGGAACUGAGACACGGUCCAGACUCCUACGGGAGGCAGCAGUGGGGAAUUUUCCGCAAUGGGCGAAAGCCUGACGGAGCAAUCUCGCGUGAGGGAUGACGGCCUAUGGGUUGUAAACCUCUUUUUUCAGGGAGGAAUAAAUGACGUGUACCUGAAGAAUAAGCAUCGGCGAACUCCGCGCCAGCAGCCGCGGUAAGACGGAGGAUGCAAGUGUUAUCCGGAAUCACUAGGCGUAAAGCGUCUGUAGGUGGUUUGAUAAGUCAACUGUUAAAUCUUGAAGCUCAACUUCAAAAUCGCAGUCGAAACUAUCAGACUAGAGUAUAGUAGGGGUAAAGGGA